GUCGGUAAAACUCGUGCCAGCCGCCGCGGUUAUACGAGAGGCUCAAGUCGAUAGAAACCGGCGUAAAGGGUGGUUAAUUCUAUAUGCAAGCUAGAGGAAAAUGCCUUCCAAGCUGUUAUACGCACCCGAAGGUAAGAAAAACCCACACGAAAGACCCUUUAAUAAAUAUGAACCCACGACAGCUUUGGCACAAACUGGGAUUAGAUACCCCACUAUG
RNAcentral lists this ribosomal RNA (217 nucleotides) under Synodus foetens (inshore lizardfish). RNAcentral describes it as "partial small subunit ribosomal RNA". Lineage: Eukaryota; Metazoa; Chordata; Actinopteri; Aulopiformes; Synodontidae. The record is from RNAcentral.